This 99-nucleotide small nuclear RNA is filed under the name Puccinia sorghi. Lineage: Eukaryota; Fungi; Basidiomycota; Pucciniomycetes; Pucciniales; Pucciniaceae. The record is from RNAcentral.
AAAAUCCUGCACAAUCUCGCCUGAUUCAUUACAUAGGGGCCAUGCUAAUCUUCUCUGUAUCGUUCCAAUUUCAACGUAUGCACCGCCAAAGCGGGCUGC